AUGCGAUGGAUGGCUUUUGCAAACCCGACAUGCGGCGAUGUGGUUCAUGCCAACAGCAAAUAUGAUUGGCCAGUGUUGCCGGCUGGCGUCAAGUUCGAUCCCACGGAUCAAGAGCUGAUCGAGCACCUUGAGGCCAAAGUGAGUGCUGACAGCGCAAGAUCUCACCCUCUCAUCGAUUUGUUCAUACCAACCAUCGACAGCGAGCACGGCAUAUGCUACACCCAUCCUGAGAAAUUUCCAGGUAUCACACUGAGUGGCCUAAGCAAGCAUUUCUUCCAGCGCAAUUCCAGGGCGUUCAAAAGGGGCACGUGGACGCGUCGCAAGAUACAGUCGGAGUGCGGCAUGCAUGUCAUGUGGCACAACACCGGCAAUACCUUGCCGGUGAUGGUCAAUGGCCGCCAGACGGGCAUCAAAAAGGUUCUGGUGCUGCACACCAACAAGAACUUCGACCAGCAGAGGACCAACUGGGUGAUGCACCAGUACCACCUCGGGGACCUGGAGCAAGAGAAGGAGCGGGAGCUGGUCCUCUGCAAGAUUUUCUACCAGACGAACACUAGGGCCAGGAGUAAAAAGAUUAUAAGUUACACCUGCCGUUCGAAUUCACAGUUCUCCAAUUUUUUUGAAACAAGUGCAUGCUCUUAUUAUCACGACGGAAAAACAAUAUCCCUGCUGCAUCCCAGUUACAGUCUUUCAUGCGUACACAAGGUUUAUCAAAAAAGAAACUUAGUCAACAAUCGACUCUACUAG
Molecule: ribosomal RNA, 747 nt
Filed under: Triticum aestivum (bread wheat)
Lineage: Eukaryota; Viridiplantae; Streptophyta; Magnoliopsida; Poales; Poaceae
Description: partial small subunit ribosomal RNA
Source: RNAcentral